This is a non-coding RNA of Desmospora sp. 8437, 97 nucleotides long. The record is from Rfam. NCBI's taxonomy places the organism in Bacteria, Bacillati, Bacillota, Bacilli, Caryophanales, Thermoactinomycetaceae.
GCGGCGGCAUCCUCCGGAGCCGCACGCGCCACCUUUGUUCUUUGUUUGUAUCACCUGAUCUCAAUCUGCUCUGAGCCUUUGGGACGGAGACAGAGGU